GCGAGUGAAGCGGGAAAAGCUCAAAUUUAAAAUCUGGCGGUCUUUUUUGGCUGUCCGAGUUGUAAUUUAGAGAAGCAUUACCCGCGCUGGACCGUAUACAAGUCCUCUGGAAUGGGGUGUCAUAGAGGGUGAGAAUCCCGUCUUUGAUAUGGACUACCAGUGCUUUGUGGUGUGCUCUCGAAGAGUCGAGUUGUUUGGGAAUGCAGCUCAAAAUGGGUGGUAAAUUCCAUCUAAAGCUAAAUACAGGCGAGAGACCGAUAGCGAACAAGUACCGUGAGGGAAAGAUGAAAAGAACUUUGGAAAGAGAGUUAAACAGUACGUGAAAUUGCUGAAAGGGAAACGCUUGAAGUCAGUCGCGUUGGCUGAGAAUCAGCCUUGCUCUUUUGCUUGGUGUACUUCUCAGUCGAYGGGUCAGCAUCAGUUUUGACUGCUGGAUAAAGGUCAGGGGAAUGUGGCAUCUUUGGAUGUGUUAUAGCCCUUGUUCGUAUACAGCAGUUGGGACUGAGGAACUCAGCACGCCGCAAGGCCGGGUUUUCAACCACGUACGUGCUUAGGAUGCUGGCAUAAUGGCUUUAAUCGACCC
Molecule: ribosomal RNA, 583 nt
Filed under: Clitocybula familia
Lineage: Eukaryota; Fungi; Basidiomycota; Agaricomycetes; Agaricales; Porotheleaceae
Description: eukaryotic LSU rRNA
Rfam family: Eukaryotic large subunit ribosomal RNA
Source: RNAcentral